UUCCUUUCAGCUGUGUGUUAGAAAGAAAUCUUGCCGAUAUGGCACCAGAUGAAGCGACAAAGUAUUGUGAGGAGAACAAGGUACAAAGUGCCCUUCCAAAAAUCAUAAAGACUGGAUUUUCUGCAAUUAAUCUCAUAUAUUUCUUCACUGCUGGCCCUGAUGAGGUGAAGUGCUGGCAAAUCAGAAGACAAACAAAGGCCCCUCAGGCUGCAGGAACAAUCCAUUCUGACUUUGAGAGAGGGUUUAUAUGUGCUGAGGUCAUGAAAUUUGAUGAUCUCAAGGAGCUUGGCAGUGAGUCAGCUGUUAAGGCUGCUGGGAAGUAUAGACAAGAAGGGAAGACCUAUGUUGUCCAAGAUGGAGACGUCAUAUUCUUCAAGUUCAAUGUAUCGGGUGGUGGAAAGAAAUGAUAUACAUCUGUAAUGGGCUGUGGAGUAAUUUAAGGAAAUCAAAUUUGAUUGUGUGAUUCAUUGUUUUUGGGGUCACAUCUUUAUGACAGGGAAAGGGAAAGGCUCAAAGGCAUGAGUUUUCCACCUUUGGAUUUAUACUCGGUGGAUGUUGGUGGAUCCCAUCAAACAUUAAAUUUUAUUUUAGGAUUAUUAUUUCAAUAUAAGGAUGGAGGCUCAACUGCUCAAGUUCAUAAAGUUCCCAGUCUCCACAGCCUCGGCUAAAGA
This 671-nucleotide unclassified non-coding RNA is filed under the name Hevea brasiliensis (rubber tree). Lineage: Eukaryota; Viridiplantae; Streptophyta; Magnoliopsida; Malpighiales; Euphorbiaceae. The record is from RNAcentral.